AUUGAACGCUAACGGCGUGCCUAACACAUGCAAGUCGAGCGGCAGCAUGACUGUAGCAAUACAGUUGAUGGCGAGCGGCGGACGGGUGAGUAAUGCAUAGGAAUCUGCCCUGUAGUGGGGGAUAACCCGGGGAAACUCGGGCUAAUACCGCAUAAUCUCUACGGAGCAAAGUGGGGGACCUUCGGGCCCUACGCUAAAAGAUGAGCCUAUGUUGGAUUAGCUAGUUGGUAGGGUAAAAGCCUACCAAGGCAACGAUCCAUAGCUGGUCUGAGAGGAUGAUCAGCCACACUGGGACUGAGACACGGCCCAGACUCCUACGGGAGGCAGCAGUGGGGAAUAUUGGACAAUGGGCGAAAGCCUGAUCCAGCAACGCCGUGUGUGUGAAGAAGGCCUUCGGGUUGUAAAGCACUUUUAGUGGGAAAGAAAAGUUUAUGGCUAAUAUCCAUGAAUGCUGACGUUACCCACAGAAAAAGCACUGGCUAACUCUGUGCCAGCAGCCGCGGUAA
This 506-nucleotide ribosomal RNA is filed under the name uncultured bacterium. RNAcentral describes it as "partial 16S ribosomal RNA". It matches the Rfam family "Bacterial small subunit ribosomal RNA", at positions 30 to 523 of the family's 1533-position model. The record is from RNAcentral.